This 72-nucleotide transfer RNA is filed under the name Bos taurus (domestic cattle). It matches the Rfam family "tRNA". Rfam says of the family: Transfer RNA (tRNA) molecules are approximately 80 nucleotides in length. Their secondary structure includes four short double-helical elements and three loops (D, anti-codon, and T loops). RNAcentral also lists the same sequence under 1 other name. The record is from Rfam by way of RNAcentral. Lineage: Eukaryota; Metazoa; Chordata; Mammalia; Artiodactyla; Bovidae.
UCCCUUGUGUCUCAGCUGGUAAAGAAUCCGCCUGCAGUGUGGGAGACCUAGGUUCAAUCCCUGGGUUGGGAA